Olea europaea var. sylvestris is the source of this 1594-nucleotide long non-coding RNA. RefSeq lists it as uncharacterized. The record is from RefSeq and is a predicted model, not a curated record. NCBI's taxonomy places the organism in Eukaryota, Viridiplantae, Streptophyta, Magnoliopsida, Lamiales, Oleaceae. The transcript has 2 exons.
UCUUAAAGUUCGAGUCGAUGUUUGCAAUGUCCUCGGUAGGAAAGGCCCCCUUUUUCAAGCCGAAACUAAUUUCUGUUCCCAGUUUUGUCGUUUUGGUCAGAACACAACAAGCCCUCCUUUGAUGGUUACACCAAAACCUAAAUCCUUUUUAUCCCCUUUAUCGAGGUUUUCUGGUUCUGUCACUUUUACGGAGAGAAGAAAGAAGAGAUGGAGAAAUCUGACUGUGUCUUCGUCACAAACGAGGGUACGAGAAAGGCAAAGAAGAGACUGAUGGUGGGGAGAUAUGAUAUGAGUGUAUUUUUCUUUUCUUUUCAUCACAAACGAGAUGGUAAGGGUUUUUGGGGGCAAGAAUUACUAUGAUGAAUCUUUGAUUCUUUUCUUGUUAAUUUUCCCCAAGAAUGAACCAUCCAAUCUGAUUAUUACCUUCUUCAGAAACCACCCCUAUUCAUUAUUUACGUCUCUUCAACUUUCUCUCUCUUAUUUACUGUGGUGGCCUCAUCUUUCAUUUUAAAUAGUGCUCAACUGCCCUCCUUCUUAUCCCUCAUACUUGGUGCUAAUAAUCCAUCCCUUUCCUCUGCACAUGCCCCUCUUUUGUGUGGGCGUGAGUAAUUUCAAUGGUAAUUUGGUGUGUUCUUGAUUAGGUCAUGGCGGUUUAUCAAAGGGUUUCCUACAGAAUUUAUUGGCAUUCUGUCCACCUCCAUUCCUAUUAAGAAAGGAUUAAGAAAUUUUAAUCUGAUAUCAUAUAUGGAGGUGGGCAUACUGCCAACUGAGUUCUGUUGAAUUCUUUUUGUAAAACCCUUGUGACACACACUCUCUUGUUUUCAACUGUACACAGACCAAGGUAACGACCCCCUUGCCAUAAAUUUGUGCAAAUUUUUUAAACCUUUUUGCCAUGCAUGUUAAUCUAUUUCAGAUGCUCCAUUUUUGUAUGUGUUAACUUUCUUGGCGUUAAAGUGUUCCUCGAAUUAAACAUAUGGUGCCUGUUUGUAUAUGUUUUUGGUUUCGUUUGGAUCUGUGUUUUGCAGCAAAUCUUGGGGCAAAAAGCUUCAGAAUCAGAUGAAUAGAAAGUAAAGAAUGGAAUAAAAUUUCUGCCAGCUCAACGGUCAAGAUCAUGAAAAGGAGAAAUGGAGCUUUCUCCUUUGAUUUUCAACCAAGAAUAAAAGUUAGCUGGAAAGUUUACCCUAGUAACAAUCGUUUUAUUGCCUUUUCAGUUUGAAUGUUCAAAUCCAGAUAUCUUUCUUCUUGUUCAAAAAACACACACAAAACACACAGUUUGUAGGGCAAGAAUUAUUAGGGCAGUGGCCAUCUGAGAAACCCUUCAUAUAUUGUAGGCUCAUGAUUGAAGUCUGACAUUGCCAUUAAAUUAUGGUGUAGCCCAUCAGGCAUCCGCUCCCAUUAAUUUUUUUCCCCCAAAGAAAUUUACUGACAGUAAAUCAUCAAAAAUCUAACAACCUAUUCGCAUUAAGUACCAUCCUUUAUUAGGUGUUGACGCCAUUUUACGGUAAAAUGAAUAGAUACGUGAAUUUUUAUUUUUAUUUUUGGUAACAUUGUUGAAUGGAUAAAGUGAAUAAAGCUUUAAUCUUUUAUUUUUUUU